Molecule: ribosomal RNA, 279 nt
Filed under: uncultured bacterium
Lineage: Bacteria
Description: partial 16S ribosomal RNA
Rfam family: Bacterial small subunit ribosomal RNA
Source: RNAcentral
UGCCAGCAGCCGCGGUAAUACGUAGGGAGCGGGCGUUAUUCGGAAUCACUGGGCUUAAAGGGUGCGUAGGCGGCGCUGUAAGUUGGAUGUGAAAUCCCACAGCUCAACUGUGGAACUGCGUUCAAUACUGCAGUGCUUGAGGGAGAUAGAGGAGAGCGGAACUACGGGUGGAGCGGUGAAAUGCGUUGAUAUCCGUAGGAACACCGGUGGCGAAAGCGGCUCUCUGGGUCUCUUCUGACGCUGAGGCACGAAAGCUAGGGUAGCGAACGGGAUUAGAUA